AUUGAACGCUGGCGGAAUGCUUUACACAUGCAAGUCGAACGGCAGCACGGGGGCAGCCCUGGUGGCGAGUGGCGAACGGGUGAGUAAUACAUCGGAACGUGCCCGGUCGUGGGGGAUAACGUAGCGAAAGUUACGCUAAUACCGCAUACGAUCUGAGGAUGAAAGCGGGGGACCUUCGGGCCUCGCGCGAUCGGAGCGGCCGAUGUCAGAUUAGGUAGUUGGUGGGGUAAAGGCCUACCAAGCCGACGAUCUGUAGCUGGUCUGAGAGGACGACCCGCCACACUGGGACUGAGACACGGCCCAGACUCCUACGGGAGGCAGCAGUGGGGAAUUUUGGACAAUGGGCGCAAGCCUGAUCCAGCCAUUCCGCGUGCAGGACGAAGGCCUUCGGGUUGUAAACUGCUUUUGUACGGAACGAAAAGGCUCUGGCUAAUACCUGGGGCUCAUGACGGUACCGUAAGAAUAAGCACCGGCUAACUACGUG
Molecule: ribosomal RNA, 484 nt
Filed under: uncultured bacterium
Lineage: Bacteria
Description: partial 16S ribosomal RNA
Rfam family: Bacterial small subunit ribosomal RNA
Source: RNAcentral